Molecule: transfer RNA, 76 nt
Filed under: Acidobacteriota bacterium
Lineage: Bacteria; Pseudomonadati; Acidobacteriota
Description: Acidobacteria bacterium (activated sludge metagenome) tRNA-His
Rfam family: tRNA
About the family: Transfer RNA (tRNA) molecules are approximately 80 nucleotides in length.
Source: RNAcentral
GCGGCUAUAGUUCAGGGGUUAGAACGCGGGAUUGUGAUUCCCGAUGUCGAGGGUUCAAAUCCCUCUAGCCGCCCCA